This 405-nucleotide ribosomal RNA is filed under the name uncultured bacterium. Its description in RNAcentral is "bacterial SSU rRNA". It matches the Rfam family "Bacterial small subunit ribosomal RNA", at positions 355 to 776 of the family's 1533-position model. The record is from RNAcentral.
UGGGGAAUCUUGCGCAAUGGGCGAAAGCCUGACGCAGCAACGCCGCGUGCGGGAAGAAGGCCUUCGGGUUGUAAACCGCUUUCAGCAGGAACGAAAAUGACGGUACCUGCAGAAGAAGGUGCGGCCAACUAUGUGCCAGCAGCCGCGGUGAUACAUAGGCACCAAGCGUUGUCCGGAUUUAUUGGGCGUAAAGAGCUCGUAGGCGGUUCAGUCAGUCGGGUGUGAAAACUCUGGGCUUAACCCAGAGCCUGCACCCGAUACUGCUGUGACUAGAGUUCGGUAGGGGAGCGGGGAAUUCCUGGUGUAGCGGUGAAAUGCGCAGAUAUCAGGAGGAACACCGAUGGCGAAGGCACCGCUCUGGGCCGAAACUGACGCUGAGGAGCGAAAGCAUGGGUAGCAAACAGG